Dunaliella salina is the source of this 94-nucleotide non-coding RNA. The record is from the annotation of a GenBank genome assembly. NCBI's taxonomy places the organism in Eukaryota, Viridiplantae, Chlorophyta, Chlorophyceae, Chlamydomonadales, Dunaliellaceae.
GCUCCUGUAGCUCAGUUGGUCAGAGCGUGAUGCUAAUACACCAAUUCUGGUGGAAGGCACGUCAAGGUCCUCGGUUCGAGCCCGGGUGGGAGCA